This 529-nucleotide ribosomal RNA is filed under the name Staphylococcus aureus. RNAcentral describes it as "partial 23S ribosomal RNA". It matches the Rfam family "Bacterial large subunit ribosomal RNA", at positions 231 to 759 of the family's 2925-position model. The record is from RNAcentral. Lineage: Bacteria; Bacillati; Bacillota; Bacilli; Caryophanales; Staphylococcaceae.
UCGAUUCCCUUAGUAGCGGCGAGCGAAACGGGAAGAGCCCAAACCAACAAGCUUGCUUGUUGGGGUUGUAGGACACUCUAUACGGAGUUACAAAGGACGACAUUAGACGAAUCAUCUGGAAAGAUGAAUCAAAGAAGGUAAUAAUCCUGUAGUCGAAAAUGUUGUCUCUCUUGAGUGGAUCCUGAGUACGACGGAGCACGUGAAAUUCCGUCGGAAUCUGGGAGGACCAUCUCCUAAGGCUAAAUACUCUCUAGUGACCGAUAGUGAACCAGUACCGUGAGGGAAAGGUGAAAAGCACCCCGGAAGGGGAGUGAAAUAGAACCUGAAACCGUGUGCUUACAAGUAGUCAGAGCCCGUUAAUGGGUGAUGGCGUGCCUUUUGUAGAAUGAACCGGCGAGUUACGAUUUGAUGCAAGGUUAAGCAGUAAAUGUGGAGCCGUAGCGAAAGCGAGUCUGAAUAGGGCGUUUAGUAUUUGGUCGUAGACCCGAAACCAGGUGAUCUACCCUUGGUCAGGUUGAAGUUCAGGUAA